GGCUUAGAGUUUGAUCAUGGCUCAGGAUAAACGCUGGCGGCGCACAUAAGACAUGCAAGUCGAACGAACUUAACCUUAAGUUUACUUUUGGAGCGGUUAGUGGCGGACUGGUGAGUAACGCGUAAGCAAUCUGCCUAUCAGAGGGGAAUAACAGUGAGAAAUCACUGCUAAUACCGCAUAAGCUGUGAGUAUCGCAUGAUACAAGCAGAAAAGGAGCAAUCCGCUGAUAGAUGAGCUUGCGUCUGAUUAGUUAGUUGGCGAGGUAACGGCCCACCAAGACGAUGAUCAGUAGCCGGACUGAGAGGUUGAACGGCCACAUUGGGACUGAGAUACGGCCCAGACUCCUACGGGAGGCAGCAGUCGGGAAUAUUGCGCAAUGGAGGAAACUCUGACGCAGUGACGCCGCGUGCAGGAAGAAGGUUUUCGGAUUGUAAACUGCUUUAGACUGGGAAGAAGAAGUGACAGUACCUGUAGAAUAAGCUCCGGCUAACUACGUGCCAGCAGCCGCGGUAAUACGUAGGGAGCGAGCGUUAUCCGGAUUUAUUGGGUGUAAAGGGUGCGUAGAUGGAUAUGCAAGUUGGUUGUGAAAUACCUCGGCUUAACUGAGGAACUGCAACCAAAACUGUAAAUCUUGAGUACUGGAGGGGAAAGCG
RNAcentral lists this ribosomal RNA (653 nucleotides) under uncultured organism. RNAcentral's name for it is "bacterial SSU rRNA". It matches the Rfam family "Bacterial small subunit ribosomal RNA", at positions 1 to 663 of the family's 1533-position model. The record is from RNAcentral.